Molecule: long non-coding RNA, 488 nt
Organism: Gallus gallus (chicken)
Lineage: Eukaryota; Metazoa; Chordata; Aves; Galliformes; Phasianidae
Exons: 3
Source: RefSeq, a predicted model, not a curated record
GCCGCCGCCGCCACGCCCCCUUCUCCUAUUGGGCUGCGCGCCGCUCGCUCCGCCCCCAGGCGAAAGGCAUGCUGGGUGCUGUAGUGCCGCCGCCCGCGUGCGUGCGGUUGAACGGCAAUGAAGGAAACGCUCGGCUUUGACUCAGCAGCACUCAGAGCGAAAGCCGUCCCCGCUGUGUUGUUCUGCCAGAACUUCAGCCCUGCAGCUCUUGGCCCACCCCGUGCCUCAGUUUCCCCUCUUGCGACGUGCAGCAGUGCCACCCCCCACCCCCAGUCCCCCCUCAGGACCUGCGGGACAAAACAGGGCGAUGGGGGCAUUGGCAGCAGUGAUGGUGAUGAAGACCAUCAGUCAGGAGGAGCUGCAGGAGCGGCAGCUCUCGGCUCACUGCAACCACACCAACAUCCCUGGAGGUGGGCAUUGGGGUCCGGGGGGGCUUUGGUGCUGCAGGAACCACUGCAGGCAGAGGGGUAGCAAAGUGAAUACAAACC